This 400-nucleotide ribosomal RNA is filed under the name uncultured bacterium. Its description in RNAcentral is "bacterial SSU rRNA". It matches the Rfam family "Bacterial small subunit ribosomal RNA", at positions 355 to 747 of the family's 1533-position model. The record is from RNAcentral.
UAGGGAAUUUUCCACAAUGGACGGAAGUCUGAUGGAGCAACGCCGCGUGUGCGAAGAAGGUUUUCGGAUUGUAAAGCACUGUUGUAAGGGAAGAAUAAUUUGUAGAGGAAAUGCUAUAGAGAUGACGGUACCUUACCAGAAAGCCACGGCUAACUACGUGCCAGCAGCCGCGGUAAUACGUAGGUGGCAAGCGUUGUCCGGAAUUAUUGGGUGUAAAGGGCGUGUAGGCGGCGCAAUAAGUCUGGUGUGAAAUCUCACGGCUCAACCGUGAAAUAGCAUUGGAAACUGUUGUGCUAGAGUGUCGGAGAGGAAAGCGGAAUUCCAUGUGUAGCGGUGAAAUGCGUAGAUAUAUGGAGGAACACCAGUGGCGAAGGCGGCUUUCUGGACGAAUACUGACGCU